RNAcentral lists this small RNA (118 nucleotides) under Arabidopsis thaliana (thale cress). RNAcentral's name for it is "ATSL210410". The record is from RNAcentral. Lineage: Eukaryota; Viridiplantae; Streptophyta; Magnoliopsida; Brassicales; Brassicaceae.
UAUAGAAACAACAUCAUCAUCAUCAUUACCGUCAUUCUUAUUUCCUUCGUUUGUUGGUUGUGUACGUCUCGGAGGUGCAAUCUUAGUCUGCACCAAAAGAGUAACAACAUAUGAAAGC